GUUGCUGAGUUUACAUGCAGUUAUGAAAGUUAGAGCACAUACAUGCUUGAUUUUACUUCCUUUAAUACAGGGCAUUCUAUAAUUACUAAGAACUGAUUUGUUGAAGUGUGCCUCCCUAUUUUGUCCAGAUAACUACUUCAGGUUAGGCGGGAGAAAUAAAAAGGGUAACCAUAGAUAUAUGGUCUAGCAUCACGAGGUUCAAGUUC
RNAcentral lists this ribosomal RNA (206 nucleotides) under Triticum aestivum (bread wheat). Its description in RNAcentral is "partial small subunit ribosomal RNA". Lineage: Eukaryota; Viridiplantae; Streptophyta; Magnoliopsida; Poales; Poaceae. The record is from RNAcentral.